RNAcentral lists this ribosomal RNA (377 nucleotides) under uncultured bacterium. RNAcentral's name for it is "bacterial SSU rRNA". It matches the Rfam family "Bacterial small subunit ribosomal RNA", at positions 29 to 433 of the family's 1533-position model. The record is from RNAcentral.
AACGAACGCUGGCGGCAGGCCUAACACAUGCAAGUCGAACGCCGUAGCAAUACGGAGUGGCAGACGGGUGAGUAACACGUGGGAACGUACCCUUCGGUUCGGGAUAACUCAGGGAAACUUGAGCUAAUACCGGAUACGUCCGAGAGGAGAAAGAUUUAUUGCCGAGGGAUCGGCCCGCGUCUGAUUAGCUUGUUGGUGAGGUAACGGCUCACCAAGGCGACGAUCAGUAGCUGGUCUGAGAGGAUGAUCAGCCACAUUGGGACUGAGACACGGCCCAAACUCCUACGGGAGGCAGCAGUGGGGAAUAUUGGACAAUGGGCGCAAGCCUGAUCCAGCCAUGCCGCGUGAGUGAUGAAGGCCCUAGGGUUGUAAAGCUC